RNAcentral lists this long non-coding RNA (245 nucleotides) under Hordeum vulgare. Its description in RNAcentral is "long non-coding RNA (HVUL_LNC004063)". The record is from RNAcentral. Lineage: Eukaryota; Viridiplantae; Streptophyta; Magnoliopsida; Poales; Poaceae.
CCCAUCCCAUAAGGGGUAUCGUGGUUGUACAUGUAAGGUUGGAGUAACGGACGCAACUUAAACCAAUUCGUUUUCGAAAACCACACACUCAAUAGCCUCAUUGUAACACUUCUUUCUCAAGUGGCUACCUAGCUUACAUCAUCUCCCUCAUGCAUUAGUGGCACCCGACGGGUUUCGUAAAACCUUUGAAAUCACCCGCCUUUACCAUCACCAUGCAUAUACUCAAUCCCAUGCGUAGCACUAAU